This 29-nucleotide non-coding RNA is filed under the name Rattus norvegicus (Norway rat). The record is from RNAcentral. Lineage: Eukaryota; Metazoa; Chordata; Mammalia; Rodentia; Muridae.
UNUUCUUACUUCAGAGGAAUAGGCCCUAG